Pygocentrus nattereri (red-bellied piranha) is the source of this 742-nucleotide long non-coding RNA. RefSeq lists it as uncharacterized. The transcript is spliced from 3 exons. The record is from RefSeq and is a predicted model, not a curated record. Lineage: Eukaryota; Metazoa; Chordata; Actinopteri; Characiformes; Serrasalmidae.
AGCAACUGGAUAGGAGCUGUAUGCUUAUAUCAGGCUGUGAGCGUGAGCGACUGGAUAUUAGCUGAGCAGCUACUAGUCACACCUCACACUAAUGGUGACGUCGUCUCUUACUGCACAUGGUGAGGACUGUGCACCAAAACAAAUGGUGGCAGCGGUAAACCGCGGGGAGAACGGCUGCAGACUCUCGGUGGAGCGGACGCCACCCUAAUGACCCCAGACAACACUGAAGUCAGUCAAGGUGAACCGACUGCAGCAGUUUCGUCACAGCGGUGUACCAGCAGAAGUACCAGUGUCAAACCUUUCGGUCACUGCUUUCUAGGGCUGUUCAGAAACUCAAACUACUCACAAAAAGCUUAAUUUAGUCUUCAUGGACGACAAUGCUCCAGCUCAUCGAGGUCACAUCAUUAGGGAACGGCUGCUGGAGAUUGGGGUACCUCAAACGGAGUGGCCUGCACUUUCUCCAGACCUAAAUCUUAUAGAAAACCUGUGGGAUCAGCUGAGUCGCUGUGUAGAGGCUCUUAACUCUAACUCUGUACCCCAGAUCCUCAGUGACCUGAGGGGCCGCCCUUGAAGAGUGGGAUGCCAUGCUUCAGCAGACAGUGAAUCGACUUGAACAGCAUGACGUCGUUGUCAAGCUGUAAUUGAUGCUCAAGGGCACAUGAAACGUUAUUGAGACAUUGACAUUUUAUGUUGGGGUAUAUGAACUAAUUAUGUUUUCCAUAAAUUUCACCCAAAAGUCAAA